This 74-nucleotide transfer RNA is filed under the name Bacteroidota bacterium. Its description in RNAcentral is "tRNA-Gln". It matches the Rfam family "tRNA". Rfam says of the family: Transfer RNA (tRNA) molecules are approximately 80 nucleotides in length. The record is from RNAcentral. RNAcentral also lists the same sequence under 1 other name. Lineage: Bacteria; Pseudomonadati; Bacteroidota.
UGUCCGAUGGUGUAACGGUAGCACAGAAGAUUUUGGUUCUUUUGGUCAGGGUUCGAAUCCUUGUCGGACAACCA